This 587-nucleotide ribosomal RNA is filed under the name Streptomyces sp. RNAcentral's name for it is "bacterial SSU rRNA". It matches the Rfam family "Bacterial small subunit ribosomal RNA", at positions 81 to 682 of the family's 1533-position model. Lineage: Bacteria; Bacillati; Actinomycetota; Actinomycetes; Kitasatosporales; Streptomycetaceae. The record is from RNAcentral.
UUCGGUGGGGAUUAGUGGCGAACGGGUGAGUAACACGUGGGCAAUCUGCCCUUCACUCUGGGACAAGCCCUGGAAACGGGGUCUAAUACCGGAUAACACUUCUGCUCUCAUGGGCAGGGGUUAAAAGCUCCGGCGGUGAAGGAUGAGCCCGCGGCCUAUCAGCUUGUUGGUGAGGUAAUGGCUCACCAAGGCGACGACGGGUAGCCGGCCUGAGAGGGCGACCGGCCACACUGGGACUGAGACACGGCCCAGACUCCUACGGGAGGCAGCAGUGGGGAAUAUUGCACAAUGGGCGAAAGCCUGAUGCAGCGACGCCGCGUGAGGGAUGACGGCCUUCGGGUUGUAAACCUCUUUCAGCAGGGAAGAAGCGAAAGUGACGGUACCUGCAGAAGAAGCGCCGGCUAACUACGUGCCAGCAGCCGCGGUAAUACGUAGGGCGCAAGCGUUGUCCGGAAUUAUUGGGCGUAAAGAGCUCGUAGGCGGCUUGUCACGUCGGGUGUGAAAGCCCGGGGCUUAACCCCGGGUCUGCAUUCGAUACGGGCUAGCUAGAGUGUGGUAGGGGAGAUCGGAAUUCCUGGUGUAGCGGU